ACCUCUCCAUGGUGUUCCAGCCACUUUCUGAAAAGUCAUGGCCUUUGCAGGUUUUUUGUGCACUACUCCGUAAGAGCCCAGGACUGUGGGGACCUGGGCGUUGACUCUGGACCAAGCCUUCUAGGCAUUGGGGAACAUGGCAGAUGCGGCUUCCUGCUCUCAUGGAGUUUCUAGUGGCUUGGUGAAGACAAGCUUAAGAGAGUCAGGCAUGAUGAUAGGGUCACCUCUCUGCCAGAGAUGAUUGUUAUUUUUGCUAGAAUUUGGUUAUGGUUUGCGUGUCAGUUUCAUUUGCUGGAAUCUUGGUUCCCAGCAUGGCAGCACUGAGAGCGGUGGACUCUUGAAGAGGUAGGGAUUAACGGGAAAUGAUUUUGUUGUGAGGGUGUUCCCUGGGGUGUAAUGUAUUGUGGGGAUCUAAUUAGCUUCUACAAGGACAGCUUGUUAAGGAGAAAACAAGCCUGGCUCCUGAGUCCCACUGGCUUCCUCUGUUAUAUUGUAAGGUCUUUGACUUGCACAGGUUUUUGUCAUGAUGGCUUCUGCCAUGGAGAGAUGUAGUGAGGAAAAUUUCGUGAGAACUGAGCUGCUGCAAUGUUCUUGGAUCUUUAAUGCUGUGCUAAUAAGACCUUUAUCUAU
Molecule: long non-coding RNA, 630 nt
Organism: Psammomys obesus (fat sand rat)
Lineage: Eukaryota; Metazoa; Chordata; Mammalia; Rodentia; Muridae
Exons: 3
Source: RefSeq, a predicted model, not a curated record